ACUCAAAGGAAUUGACGGGGGCUCACACAAGCGGUGGAGCAUGUGGCUCAAUUCGAAGCAACGCGAAGAACCUUAUCCUGGGCUUGACAUGGUGGAAGUAGGAAAUCGAAAGACGUACGACCGGUAUCCAAUCCGGAACCAUCACAGGUGCUGCAUGGCUGUCGUCAGCUCGUGCUGUGAAGUGUCGGGUUAAGUCCCAUAACGAGCGAAACCCUUAUUGUUAGUUGCCAGCGGGUCAUGCCGGGCACUCUAACAAGACUGCCGGUGUUAAACCGGAGGAAGGCGGGGAUGACGUCAAGUCCUCAUGGCCUUUAUGCCCAGGGCUGCACACGUGCUACAAUGCCGAUGACAAACCGAAGCAAGACCGUAAGGUGGAGCAAAUCGGAGAAAAAUCGGCCCAGUUCAGAUUGAGGGCUGCAACUCGCCCUCAUGAAGUUGGAAUCGCUAGUAAUCGCGUAUCAGCUAUGACGCGGUGAAUGUGUUCCUGAGCCUUGUACACACCGCCCGU
RNAcentral lists this ribosomal RNA (508 nucleotides) under uncultured bacterium. RNAcentral describes it as "partial 16S ribosomal RNA". It matches the Rfam family "Bacterial small subunit ribosomal RNA", at positions 899 to 1397 of the family's 1533-position model. The record is from RNAcentral.